UCCCUCUGCCCCGUCGCCACGCCCCCAUCCUCCUCUCCCCGGUUUCACCGGCGCCGGCGUGCUACCGUCUUCCUCCUCUCCCUCUCCGGCGCGCUCUACCCACCACCGUCGCGCCACAGACCACAUGCUCCUCAUGAUGCGCCACAGGCGGGCGGCCACGUCUCGCCCGACCGUCCGCCCACACGCCUCCUCCUUUGGGGUCCGGCGAGCGGCAUCGGCGGCCAUGACGAAUUGGCACGUGUGCGGCCACUCUGCUUCGGUUCAGGGGCUACAGGCUAUGCCGGAUUGGCCACCGGCUCAAAGGGGACGCGCGGACGUCCUGGUCCUGCUCCUCCCGACCAUGUUGAUGUGGCGCGGGGCGGCGGCCUCAGAGCCUGGGGUGUACGCCUGUCGACGGGGCUCGGGGUGGCUGUGGCUGAAUAUCACAUCUCCUCCUCUUGUCCUCGGGGUGAUUAGCAUCGGCGAAAGUACUCCGCCCACAUCCUGUUUGAUGUUAUGCUAUGACAGACUGGGAAUUUUCAGAUCCAACUCUUACCACUAUUUAGAUAAUCAGAAUGAAAAACAAGUGUAUCUGAUGUCGGAUCUGCACCUAAAACAAGUGUACAUGAUGUUCCAAGCUGUCCGUGUUGAUGGCCGAAGAGUAGGCGAGGGUCCACUGUUCAUUUGAUUUCGUGGGGAUUAUCCAGAACAAUGCGAUCUGAAUUGAAGCCAAUCCGAUCCAGGUGAAACAGAAGUUGAUAGAUUAUUCCGGAGACGAGGUGAUAUAUAUAUAUAUAUCAAGCGGAAGUCUGUUUGUGUGACUCUGCUUGUAUGUUGUCAAGUUGCAAAUAGACUGGUUUUAUCAGUUGUUGCUUGAUGAGAGACCAACCAGUUUAUGCCUGACAUUUGCGACUCUACAUUUAAUGCAGUACAAUCGAGAGCUCAUGGCAUCAGGUUCAAACCGAUGCUGUGGCCAACACAGAUAGUAGCAGUCAAGACAAUGACUUUUUGGACGAAGAAGAGUGACUUCAUGCAAGGAAAUGAGUUCCAAUAUUGGUGUGACGAGUCCCUUGACUGAAGAAGGAGGAGGAUGACGUCAAGGGAGGCAUGAGCCGGCGGUGGCAGCAUGAGCCAUCACGAUGCAUCGCUGGGAGGCUCCGGGCGGGGGGCAUGAGAGGUGUGACACAAGUGAGGAGGCGAACUAGAGAAGAUGGGUAGAUUGAGAUGGAUCAUACAAGGAUGAAGGGAUGUUAUAGAGCCGUUAGCCGACGGUGCAAAUUUCCUGUGUGUGUCGAUCUCGGUUGCCAUGUAGUAAAUGAAGAGUGCGUGUAUGCCUGUGGCACCCUCCAUUUUCAUAUUUGGAGUCCACACAGGCUGGGUGGCCGAGGGGAAGAGUGAGCGAUUUUUUUGUUCCGUUUUUUUUGCCUGAGUAGGUGUCUGUGAGGACUCCUUCCCCCUUGGUGAUUUUGGUGAUGGUGGUGAGAUGGUGGAUUCUUUUUUUGCGGGAUCGUGUAAUAUACAUAGAAAUUUUUCUGAACUUCUAUUUUACAUGUGAUGAUUCAU
This is a long non-coding RNA of Triticum dicoccoides, 1542 nucleotides long. RefSeq lists it as uncharacterized. The record is from RefSeq and is a predicted model, not a curated record. The transcript is spliced from 3 exons. Lineage: Eukaryota; Viridiplantae; Streptophyta; Magnoliopsida; Poales; Poaceae.